GUCAUAUCCUGUUCAACAAAAGCUAGUUUGAAUCAGUUCAAAGGUUGGGACUCACUCUCCCAUCAAAACUCAACAUGACUAGUGCUAUUAUUACAUUGAUUCUGUUGCUGCACUGCAGUCAAGCUGCUGUGGGUGGAGAUGGUGUUGUUCAAGAUCCUAAAAUUCUCUGGGAACAAAAGAACGGUUCUGCUUCUUUGAACUGCAAUCACAAUAAGGGUUUUUCAUACAACCAGAUGUACUGGUACCGACAGCGUCCAGGAGAGACUAUGAGACUCAUUGUAUUCACUAUGACUGGUGGUAUUACACCAGACUUUGGAGAUGUUGAUGAGAAGAAAUUUGAAGCUCAAAAAAGUGUUGCUGACAGUGGAUCGUUGAAAGUGAAAGAUCUAGAGCCAGACGACAGUGGCAUAUAUUUCUGUGCCGUGAGUCAACACAGUGUGUCAAAGGCUGGAGAAUGCUGUACAAAAACAUUCGGUGCAUAAAAAGACAAUGACAGCAUUAGUCAACAGGUGGCAGUCUGGUAUAACAAUAAGCAAC
Non-coding RNA from Carassius carassius (crucian carp), 537 nucleotides. Lineage: Eukaryota; Metazoa; Chordata; Actinopteri; Cypriniformes; Cyprinidae. The record is from the annotation of a RefSeq genome assembly.